CAGCCGCCGCGGUAAAACGUAGGGUGCAAGCGUUAAUCGGAAUUACUGGGCGUAAAGCGUGCGCAGGCGGUUAUGUAAGACAGUUGUGAAAUCCCCGGGCUCAACCUGGGAACUGCAUCUGUGACUGCAUAGCUAGAGUACGGUAGAGGGGGAUGGAAUUCCGCGUGUAGCAGUGAAAUGCGUAGAUAUGCGGAGGAACACCGAUGGCGAAGGCAAUCCCCUGGACCUGUACUGACGCUCAUGCACGAAAGCGUGGGGAGCAAACAGGAUUAGAUACCCGCGUAGUCCCUGUCUCUUAUAC
RNAcentral lists this ribosomal RNA (301 nucleotides) under uncultured bacterium. RNAcentral describes it as "partial 16S ribosomal RNA". It matches the Rfam family "Bacterial small subunit ribosomal RNA", at positions 509 to 807 of the family's 1533-position model. The record is from RNAcentral.